Molecule: ribosomal RNA, 873 nt
Filed under: uncultured bacterium
Lineage: Bacteria
Description: bacterial SSU rRNA
Rfam family: Bacterial small subunit ribosomal RNA
Source: RNAcentral
AGAGUUUGAUCCUGGCUCAGGAUGAACGCUAGCGGCAGGCUUAAUACAUGCAAGUCGAACGGCAAGUUGAAUAGCAAUAUUUGACCUAGAGUGACGUACGGGUGCGUAACACGUAUGCAACCUACCCAAAACUGGAGGAUAGCUCGGGGAAACUCGAAUUAACCCUCCAUAAGAUCAUAGAGUAGCAUUACUUAGUGAUUAAAACUCCGGUGGUUUUGGAUGGGCAUGCGUCUGAUUAGUUAGUUGGCGGGGUAACGGCCCACCAAGACGAUGAUCAGUAGGGGAACUGAGAGGUUGAUCCCCCACACUGGCACUGAGAUACGGGCCAAACUCCUACGGGAGGCAGCAGUAGGGAAUAUUGGUCAAUGGGUGCAAGCCUGAACCAGCNNNNNNGCGUGCAGGAAGAAGGCGUUAUGCGUUGUAAACUGCUUUUGCCAGGGGAUAAAAUUUCCUUGCGAGGAACAUUGAAGGUACCUGGUGAAUAAGCCACGGCUAACUACGUGCCAGCAGCCGCGGUAAUACGUAGGUGGCAAGCGUUGUCCGGAUUUAUUGGGUUUAAAGGGUGCGUAGGCGGCCCUGUAAGUCAGUGGUGAAAUACGGCAGCUCAACUGUCGAGGUGCCAUUGAUACUGGGAAACUUGAGUACUGAUGAGGUAGGCGGAAUGGACGGUGUAGCGGUGAAAUGCUUAGAUAUCGUCCAGAACACCGAUAGCGAAGGCAGCUUACUAAGGAGUAACUGACCCUGAUGCACGAAAGUGUGGGGAUCCAACAGGAUUAGAUAUCCUGGUAGUCCACACUGUAAACGAUGAUUACUCCAUGUUGGCGAUACCCAGCCAGCGUCUUAUCGAAAGCGAUUAAUUAAUCCACUUUGGAU